GGACGGCAAAAUUGAAUUUUCACUGGACGUAGCAGCAGAUGGUAAAUACUCCCAGGCCCAAAGAGAAAAAGACAAAAUCAAAUAUUCCCUCUCCUCCACUCCUCUGUACAACUUAGGACAAAAUCACGGACCCAAAAACAAGAAAUUAAAAAAGAAAGAUUUAAUUAAACUGGUGACUUAUAUGAAUCACUAUAAUUAUAUAAAGAAUCCUCCUUGAUUUCAGGUUUAGAUGGCUUCUUUUCCUCAAUCUCUUGGUUGUCAUCAACAUCAUCAAUGACAACGCCCACAGUUCCGGUCAGCUCUUUAGCCCUUCGGGCUUGAAAUUCCCAAUCUGUGCAACCCAAAACCACCAACAUGGUCACAACACAGGAGCCUUGUGCAGCCAAGAGGCCUAGCCAUAGUCCUUCGAAAUCAAAUCCUGCAAAAAAUGCUAAAAAUACUGCCACUGGCAUACCAACAAGGUAGAAGCAACCCAAGUUGAUGUUUGCCCCUACUUUCGGUCUAGCCGUCCCUCUUAGCACUCCACAGCCUGUUGUUUGUGGACAGUUUCCUAGUUCACACAAUCCUAUUAUCGGCAAAACAAGUGAUGUUAAGGCAAUAAUCUCUUUAUCUUGUGUGAACAUGCUAGCCCAUAUUUUCCUCACCGUAACUGUGAAACUUAGAGCUGAAAAUCCCAGAAUGAAGCUGCAAGAGAGGCCUACAAUGGCUGCGAGCUUUGCUUUCUUGGGCUGGUUAGCACCCAGUUCAUUACCUACCCUUGUGGAUACGCUGAAGCUUAGAGAAGAUGGAAAUAUGUAUACUAGUGAAGUAGUCUGAAUCAGAAUGCCCAUAGAGGCAACGGUUGCUCUUGGGUUCAACAACAGCCCGCAUAGCAAAAUCAUGAUUUCAUACCACCACCAUUCAAGACACACUGAGAUGCAGCUUGGAAUGGCCAAGUUCAAAAGAGUUUUCCAUUCUUUGAAGCACUCUAUGGAAAACCCUCCCCAGGUCUUUUUGUGGACACCGGAGAUAAGGAUGUAGACGAUUAAAGAGCCUACGAGAAUGAAAUUAGUCCAUACCCCACUAAGAGCAACACCUUUGAUUCCUAAAUUAAGGUGUGUCACCAGAAGAUAGUUUAUGGGUAUGUGUAGAAGAAUUGAUAGAGUAGCACAAAAUGUUAAAGGCAAGGUUAUGGAUUGAGUUCUCAGAUAAAUUCUCAACGGGUGUAAAAUGGAUUGAGCUAAGAGGUCAGGAAGAGAAUAAAGAAGAAAUGACUGAGCUUCUGUGGCAAUUGCCAAAUCUUGGCCGCAAAAAAGAAGAAUUCUUUUCAUGUUUAACCACAGAAGAGAAAUGGGUAAGGAAGUGAAUAUUAGCAAAAGUAUAGUUCUCUGCAAAGUUAGACCAAGAAGGCUGUGUUUUUGGGCUCCGAAUGCUUGACCACAAAUGGGUUCCAUUCCCAUGGCGAGGCCAGAGAGGAUAGAAUAGCCAGUUAUGUUAGCAAAGCCGAUGGCAAGAGAUCCACCGGCUAAAGCAAGCUCGCCAAGGCGACCAAGGAAAAGCAUAGAGAUCAUCGAGCGAGAGUAAAGCAAAAGACCAGUGAGUAUCAUAGGAAGGGCUAUUUUGGCAAUGGAUAUGGCUUUUCUGAUGGCAAGAGAGAAGUGUGUCUUUUGUGGUGGCUCCUGGAAUUCUGGUGGCGGUCUAUGUUCCAGCUGCUGUUGUUUGGGUGUUGGGCUUUCGGUGAUCAAAAAUGGCUCGUGCAUGCUGGACUCUGGGUCCUUGGUUGGGAGUUGGCAACGGCAUUUAGAGGAGAGGGGAGAGAAGUUUAGCUGGCACAUUGUUGUUAUGCGUGAAAAAAGUGUUAAUGAGUAUUUUGGGAGAGAGAGAGAGAGAGAGAGAGACUUGG
Molecule: unclassified non-coding RNA, 1882 nt
Filed under: Hevea brasiliensis (rubber tree)
Lineage: Eukaryota; Viridiplantae; Streptophyta; Magnoliopsida; Malpighiales; Euphorbiaceae
Source: RNAcentral